GGCUGCAGUGGCUGCAGAGCUUCCCCACAGCUCACAUCUCACACCUGCAACAGGCCCGCUGGUUUCACACAGGAGGCCCAUGGUGUUGUCUACAGGAAGAGACACGAUUCCCCCUCACAAAUAUGGAUUUGUACUCCGCUCCAGGACCUAACCAUGCAUGUGCACCUGCUGUCCGGAGGCCGAGAUGCGUUGCCAAGAGCGCUUGGAUCUGCGUGAGCUCAAACUUCGUCUGCAUGGGAGGAUGCAGUGACUAUGAGGAAUACUUUUUUUUUUUUAACAGUCAGAACAGACUCUGUGUCUCACUCUGAGGGAAACAGUUGGUUUUAUUUUGCUCGUCUUUUGGCUGUUUGGCGUGCGUAAUGAUUAACUCUAAUGGUCCCCCACGACUAUUCCUGGAAAUGCUGCAGAACAAAACGGGAGGUAGCCGAGUUGGAAGGCCCGUGACAGGGAGGGUGAGGGAUGGAGAUGGAGAUGGAGAGACGGUGCUUUCGGAAGUGCUGCUUUGAUGAGCUUUGACGCAGGAGGGAAGGAAAGAGACGCACAGAGCUCGUGCAGCCGUGGCUCCAGCGCCCAAAACUUUUACCCGCAGAGGCCAGCCACUGAGGAAGGCUAACAUCCCCAUCAGGGAUAAUUGACCGAGGAGUCUUUCAGGAAAACAGCAAGAGGACGAUCGGGAUGCUCCUGCCCCACCUCCGUCCCUGCACAUCAUAAUCUCCGGACCUGUUGUCAUUCACCGUGGAUCAGAAGACGUCGCUUAUAUCAAACAUCUCUACUCUCCACUCUUCUGUGUCCCUCUUUUUAUUCUUCCUUUCUCCUCCUCUACCCACCCUCCCUCGCUGGGUGACCUCCCUGCCUCCUGGCUCUCUCACCCCUCUCCUCUGGCCCUGGCCCUGGCCCUGCCCACCCUGGGUCAUUUAUCAUGGGCCAGGAGGGGAGCCCCUGGGCCUGCAGGCCCCUGUCAGCCCCUGCAAUCGCCUCUUUGUGGCUCCUAGCAAACAAGUGUCGGAUCAGCAAAAGUCUAUUAAAGCCUGGUGGGCCUUUCUCAGCCAAUUGGGCUCGGGUCACUGAGCUGCUCUCCUUGCUGCUCCGAGAGCUCUUUGUGUCGCCGCCGUUCGCUGACACAGAUCCCCACAAGAUUAAUGAUUUUUAGCAGCCAUUUGGGUCUCAUUCGCGGGGUCCUUCUCUCUUUCUCUCUCUUUGCUCCUUUUCCUCUUUUAUCCACUCAUUCUGUCCUCUUUUUUUCCUUUAACCUAUUUCUUCUACUACCAGAUUUCUCGCUUUUCGCUCACUGGUUUACUCCUCUGCUCCUCCCUUUUACUGUUACUCCAAUCAGUGUUGACUAGUGGUACUUCACUUUGUGAGGUCAUCAGUCCACACAAGUGUAAUUGCUACUAAUGCUCGCCCUGUUUUUAUAUAGUAAUUGUCUCUGUGUGAAAGGAUAUAAAUAAUAGUUGCUCAAUAUGUUACUUGAGUUGUUUGUUUCAGAGUGAUGGGCUCCUGCCUGAUAAAUCCAGAGGAUGUUAAAAAGCUCGAGUAUCCACAUUACAAUCCUGGCAGGCUUCCCCGCAUUGUGCCUCCAGAGGCUCAGAGUAAUUUGAAAUCUUGGAGCCUCUUCCACGACUUCCAUGUUGCCAUGUUCUCAGUGUUGUUUCCAGUAAUUACUGCAGGUUAAGUGCACGUCCCGGAGCCCAGUGGAGGCAGCUCUAUCCCUCACCUGGGACAUGACUCAGCACAGCUCAGGUCAUCCGGCCAUUUCCCUGACCACUGGACCACACCCCGACCUACUCUAAACCCACAGGACAAGCACUGUUUACGAAGGACUCGUGUUCACUUACAUCACGUAAUGUAAUGGCUGUUUUACUUACAGGCUGAUUUUUUUUCAGAAGCAGCCUCACACUGGCACGUUUGUCCAUUUGGAGUCUGUAAACACAUGCAUUUAAACUACAAGGUUCCACUCAUUUUAGUACAGAAUUACCAGCUCAGUCACCAGAAUAAAACACUGGCAUUGCACAUUUCUGCCAACCAUCGAUAAGUUUCAUUUGUACAUUUCAUAUGUAUGAUGUAAUUAUCAGGAGGAAGGAGGGAAGGUGGAUGGCAUGACACCUAGGCAAGACGGCUGCCAAUCAGCAAGCCUCUGUUCAAGACCAACACAAUCUUACUCCAACCUCGUCACAUAUUGACAGGUGGUCACGGACUUUCCACGUCCACAUGCGACAUGUAAGGUACCCUGGGUGUGUUGGUUGUUGACGUUCUGGGACACCGUGUCAAGUUCUCUUCUUUCAAGAUACACUUUAGUUUUCACAGAAAAUUUAACAUUUACAUACAGUCUCUUUCAAAAUGAAGGCACAGUGAAUUGAUGUUUUUUCCUUCAACAAACACGUGGUUAUGUUUAGGCAAAAAGAACAGCGUUUGGCUUUAGAAUUUUACGGGAUGCAAACACCGCUCUGUAAAAGUCGAGGUUUGUUGGACCCAUCCAUCACCCCUCUCGCUCACCCCAUUUGGACUUUCACCACCUUAACUUUGUCCUUGUCCCACUGCGUUUCCCCCUGAUGCCACUGAGCACAGGUAAACUAUAUCUAAUGUGUAUCCAACCAGCCUUUUUUUUGUUGGUUUCUGAUGCCGCAAGCCACUGCCCCAAUUGCCUGAUUUCGGAGUGAGACCAGACUCUUGAGACUAACAAAAGCAGUCGUGUUUAAUGACAGUUUGGAACAUCUCCAGCUGUGUUUGUAGCGACAUAAUCGGGUAGUUUAAGCCAAAACACAAUGUUUUCCGAACCCUACACAGGUUGAUUUUGUGCCUAAAUCCAACUACAUGUUAACCACAGCAUUGUCGCAACAUACAAUUGACAUUGGAGGCGUAAAGUUGCCGCAACAUAUGAAAUGUACAAUGUAACGUAUGUGUGAUUUGCAGACGUACAAUGCCAACAUUUUUUCUGGUGAUUGGGUUGAAAUUACCUCUUUGUGUGAGUGGCAGAAAUGCUCUGGGGAAACAAAAAUGAAGUAUUUUUUGUACUGAAAAGAGUGUGUCUUUGAAAAAACAUAUCCACUAAUUUGUGGGCUGUGGAGUUGCUCCUCCAUCACUUUUAUCGGCAGGCUGAAAUAGAAGGGGAUCUCUUCACAGGUGGAGUUAUUAGAACGACUGUUUCACUGUUUACAUCAAGAUCAACAUCAACAAGAUAUUUGCUGGAGUCAUUUAAAGGAAUACUGUAUCAAUUACUCACCUCUUUCUAUGUAGAAUUAAUGAAGAAUACUGAAUGGUGAACGAAGAAUCCAAAAACUUGAGAAAAUUCCCAAUGGAGUAAAAGGGGGCCACAUUUAACUUCAUUCCAACUUGCACAGUAUAAUCCAAGUCUCAUUUAUGCAGUCGUGUCCUCAAGUUUUUAGAGUUUGUAAACAGUUGUUUUGAUUUUGUUUUGCUGUUGUUGAACGUGGACGCCUUUACUUCUUUUCAUCAAGAAUUUCACUGUUUCUGGUUUCUUUGUUCACCGUGGGGGCAAGCGAGAUGUUGUUUUCACGAAUUCAAGGUCGCACAGGAUGAGUUAUUGAUAUGCAAAUUAUCAUUUCGUGGGUGAAGUAUUCCUUUAAGCUCUUCCUUUUAACAUAAUGGAAAUGUAGACUAUUAGGGUCUAGGCCUGAAAGCCCCUCAACCUUUGAUCUGUGUUAAAACUCAAAUAUGUACUCUAGAUAUUUCACAGUCUGCUCUGUCAUUAAUGUUGCAUGCUUACAGGAUCUGUUUCAUCUCUGUAAUAUUCCUCUGUGUUGAAGCGUGUGGGGCAGCAGUGAAAGAAACUGUGUGUGUGUGCACGUACUGUCUGUGUGUGUGUAUGUGAAAACACAGUGUUCUCCUGCGUUGUGUUAGUGAAGCUGUCAGCGAGGCUGCUGGUCGGUCAGCGUCUUCUUUCACCUAAAACUGCAGCCUGUGUGUUUACGGCCUGUUUAAGGACUGAAUGGAUGAACCCAGCCUGCUGCCAUGUCCAUCCACCUGCCCUGUUUCCUGUCUGAUUAAUCUUUUGUGUGUGCGUGUGUGUGUGCGCGUAUGUUUGUGAGUGUGUUUGUUUGUAUGUGCGCCUGUGUGUAAAUGGUUAUAGAUGGGGCGACACCACAACACUGGCAGUCUGAAUCAUUACUCAGAAAGAUAGGGAGAGACCCGGGGCCGAGGAACCCCUAACAUCCUCCUCCUUUCUACACAGGCACACACACACACACACACACACACACACACACAUAUACACGCACACACCCCCACACACAUACAUAUCCCCAGGUUAUUCAUUUCUAAGCAGAGUGCCUGGCAUUUCACCACAUCCACCCCCCUUUAUUAAGAGACUGGAGCUCCGGGUUUCCUUCUCGGAGAGGGGGAGUGAGGGAUGGUUUUCGAUUGGGCCUUAUACUCUUUGUUUGCACCCUUCCUCUUUGCCUGUUCUCUCGUCAUUUCUCCUAAUCUUUCAUUUCCAUCUCUUUCUCCCUCUCCCUCUGUCUCGUUCUCUCUUUU
Molecule: long non-coding RNA, 4491 nt
Organism: Epinephelus fuscoguttatus (brown-marbled grouper)
Lineage: Eukaryota; Metazoa; Chordata; Actinopteri; Perciformes; Serranidae
Exons: 3
Source: RefSeq, a predicted model, not a curated record